UACGUAGGUGGCAAGCGUUGUCCGGAAUUAUUGGGCGUAAAGCGCGCGCAGGCGGGAUAUCAAGUCUGUCUUAAAAGUUCGGGGCUCAACCCCGUGAUGGGAUGGAAACGGGUAUUCUUGAGUAUCGGAGAGGAAAGUGGAAUUCCCAGUGUAGCGGUGAAAUGCGUAGAUAUUGGGAGGAACACCAGUGGCGAAGGCGACUUUCUGGACGAUGUCUGACGCUGAGGCGCGAAAGCCAGGGAAGUGAACGGG
This 252-nucleotide ribosomal RNA is filed under the name uncultured bacterium. Its description in RNAcentral is "partial 16S ribosomal RNA". It matches the Rfam family "Bacterial small subunit ribosomal RNA", at positions 524 to 776 of the family's 1533-position model. The record is from RNAcentral.